GGCUUCGUAGCUCAGCUGAUAGAGCGCUUGCCGCGUAGAGGCAUGGUGUUUCUGUCGCUGGUUCGAAUCCAGCCUAAGCCC
This 81-nucleotide transfer RNA is filed under the name Paragonimus heterotremus. It matches the Rfam family "tRNA". Rfam says of the family: Transfer RNA (tRNA) molecules are approximately 80 nucleotides in length. Their secondary structure includes four short double-helical elements and three loops (D, anti-codon, and T loops). The record is from Rfam by way of RNAcentral. Lineage: Eukaryota; Metazoa; Platyhelminthes; Trematoda; Plagiorchiida; Troglotrematidae.